This 1243-nucleotide ribosomal RNA is filed under the name Chryseobacterium sp. RNAcentral describes it as "bacterial SSU rRNA". It matches the Rfam family "Bacterial small subunit ribosomal RNA", at positions 277 to 1533 of the family's 1533-position model. The record is from RNAcentral. Lineage: Bacteria; Pseudomonadati; Bacteroidota; Flavobacteriia; Flavobacteriales; Weeksellaceae.
UGAUCUUUAGGGGGCCUGAGAGGGUGAUCCCCCACACUGGUACUGAGACACGGACCAGACUCCUACGGGAGGCAGCAGUGAGGAAUAUUGGACAAUGGGUGAGAGCCUGAUCCAGCCAUCCCGCGUGAAGGACGACGGCCCUAUGGGUUGUAAACUUCUUUUGUAUAGGGAUAAACCUACUCUCGUGAGAGUAGCUGAAGGUACUAUACGAAUAAGCACCGGCUAACUCCGUGCCAGCAGCCGCGGUAAUACGGAGGGUGCAAGCGUUAUCCGGAUUUAUUGGGUUUAAAGGGUCCGUAGGCGGGCUUGUAAGUCAGUGGUGAAAUCUCAUAGCUUAACUAUGAAACUGCCAUUGAUACUGCAGGUCUUGAGUAAAGUAGAAGUGGCUGGAAUAAGUAGUGUAGCGGUGAAAUGCAUAGAUAUUACUUAGAACACCAAUUGCGAAGGCAGGUCACUAUGUUUUAACUGACGCUGAUGGACGAAAGCGUGGGGAGCGAACAGGAUUAGAUACCCUGGUAGUCCACGCCGUAAACGAUGCUAACUCGUUUUUGGGGCUUCGGCUUCAGAGACUAAGCGAAAGUGAUAAGUUAGCCACCUGGGGAGUACGUUCGCAAGAAUGAAACUCAAAGGAAUUGACGGGGGCCCGCACAAGCGGUGGAUUAUGUGGUUUAAUUCGAUGAUACGCGAGGAACCUUACCAAGGCUUAAAUGGGAAUUGACAGGUUUAGAAAUAGACUUUUCUUCGGACAAUUUUCAAGGUGCUGCAUGGUUGUCGUCAGCUCGUGCCGUGAGGUGUUAGGUUAAGUCCUGCAACGAGCGCAACCCCUGUCACUAGUUGCCAUCAUUAAGUUGGGGACUCUAGUGAGACUGCCUACGCAAGUAGAGAGGAAGGUGGGGAUGACGUCAAAUCAUCACGGCCCUUACGCCUUGGGCCACACACGUAAUACAAUGGCCAGUACAGAGGGCAGCUACCAGGCGACUGGAUGCGAAUCUCGAAAGCUGGUCUCAGUUCGGAUUGGAGUCUGCAACUCGACUCUAUGAAGCUGGAAUCGCUAGUAAUCGCAUAUCAGCCAUGAUGCGGUGAAUACGUUCCCGGGCCUUGUACACACCGCCCGUCAAGCCAUGGAAGUUUGGGGUACCUGAAGUCGGUGACCGUAACAGGAGCUGCCUAGGGUAAAACAAGUAACUAGGGCUAAGUCGUAACAAGGUAGCCGUACCGGAAGGUGCGGCUGGAACAUCUCAUU